RNAcentral lists this long non-coding RNA (1261 nucleotides) under Cavia porcellus (domestic guinea pig). Its description in RNAcentral is "lncRNA (ENSCPOG00000039030.1)". Lineage: Eukaryota; Metazoa; Chordata; Mammalia; Rodentia; Caviidae. The record is from RNAcentral.
CUCACGUCUGGCUCAGGUCUCACUUCCACAACCUAGGGGGCGUUCAACACAGGGCAGACACGUCACAUCUGCUCGUUGAAUAAAAAACGAGUGGCAAAAGUGAAAAAGAAACGAGAAACCUCUCCCCCCCUGGCGGAAGCAGCUAAGACAAACUUGCAGCGCUGGAGGCAGAAUCGUUCCCGGAUUCAGACUUCCCACACCUCUCCGAGCCCGCAGCCCACCCUGUGCAAACAUUUCCUGUAAGCUAGUCGCGUGUGGCUCCUCAGAGUCCCUACUUCAGUUUUUCACAGGCGCUCGUGGGGUUCCAGGCGGCCUCUCACAGAAGAGCUGAGCUCAAGACUGCAAGUCAGCCCUCCCGCCCAGCCGGCUCGCCGCUGUCUGUACAGGCCAAGGUUCGCCCCGCCCCCGUCGUCUCGGCAACGGUGAGCGACAGGUGCGCGCAGGCGCCGUUGGUGCGCGGGGCACGGCGGCCUCUGGGCGCGCGCUUCGGCGCGGCGUGGCACGCGGGGCUUCGCUGCUUGGCGCCGCUGUGAUCACCUCAGUGCCCUCGGACCUCCGGGCGCCCGUUCCGGUCGGCAACUGAUCUCCCCUGCGGCCGGGGUCGGGAGACGAGGCCACACGCUGCCGCGCGGUGGGACACAGGCGGCCAUGCCAGGUAAAGGGAAGAAAGGCAAAGGCACAGGAAGGCCACAUGGGAAGAAGCAGAAGAAGCCCGAGGUGGACAUCCUGAGCCCGGCUGCCAUGCUUAACCUGUACUACAUCGCGCACAACGCAGCCGAGUGCCUGCACCUGCGAGGUUUCCGCUGGCCCGGUGCGCCCAAGGGGAAAAAGGGCAGGAACAAGACCUAGGAGGAGCGAGUUGAAGAUAACAGGAUGAUGACUGCAAGCAAAAUAGACUUUGCUGAAGAAAUUUUGAAAUGCAAGCUCAGUGUGCUUUUCAGUGGUAAAUUAGGAUUUAAAAAUGCCUUUUACUUCUUCAGUUAACUCACGUAUAACUAAGGAGAGUUUUUUUAAGGGUUAAGGGAAGUGAGUUUUGAGUAAUCCCUACACUGUGUGGUGGAAUUCAUAGGACUUUUUAAAACUAUCAUCAUAAUUCUGUGUCAGAAUUAAACGUUGCUCUGGCAAGGCAGUUCCAGUUUGCGCGAGUUGUUUUCUUUUGCAGAAGGGGUUUGUUAUUGGAGAAGGCACAGCACAUGCUUGGGCUUACCUUAAACAGCCCUCUCUUGGGUGCUGUUUUUUUGUUUUUGCUUUUCAAACCUUG